AAAUUGCCGGCGGGUUUCAAAAAAAAAAAACUUCAAAAUCGACUUCGAAGCUCAAAAAAGACAUCGAUACUUACCUUAAUGUGUUCUCCUUUCAUAUAUACUACCAUAUUAUUGUCUUAUAACUCAAUUUUAUAAGUUUUGUGAGGUUUUAAUUUCUUUAGUUUUGAGAUUUUUUAAAAGGGUUUGUUGUGAGAUUUUGUAGAAGGGUUUGUUGUGAGGAAGAUUUUUUAAAAGGGUUUUUUGGGAGGGAGAAGAAGGAGGUGGAGGAGGUGAGGGGUUUGUGAGUAAGGAGGGAAAUGGUUUUUUUGAGUUUUUGAUUAUUUGGUAUUUAAGAAAGAAAAAUAGUAUUUGUAAUAUUUUUUUUGUUUUAAUUCAUUAAGGGUAUUAAAGUAAUUUACAAUUAAUUAUUUAUUUUUUAUUUUUUUGGUAUUCAAGUAAGCAAAAGUUGGGAUUUGAAAUAGUGAUCCCC
This 469-nucleotide long non-coding RNA is filed under the name Erythranthe guttata (spotted monkey flower). RNAcentral describes it as "long non-coding RNA (EGUT_LNC002552)". Lineage: Eukaryota; Viridiplantae; Streptophyta; Magnoliopsida; Lamiales; Phrymaceae. The record is from RNAcentral.